RNAcentral lists this ribosomal RNA (1095 nucleotides) under Triticum aestivum (bread wheat). RNAcentral's name for it is "partial small subunit ribosomal RNA". Lineage: Eukaryota; Viridiplantae; Streptophyta; Magnoliopsida; Poales; Poaceae. The record is from RNAcentral.
AUGUCCACCACCACCAGGAGCAGCACAGACCGCCUCCACGCGCUCAAGGCGUUCGACGACACCAAGGCUGGCGUCAAAGGCCUCGUCGACGCGGGCCUUUCCGCCGUCCCCGCCAUCUUCCACCACCCGCCCGACAACACACCAACCCAUCACUUGACGAUCCCGAUCAUCGACCUCGCUGGCCUCAUGACGCCGUCCGGGCGGGCCUCGGUGGUCGGGGCGGUGAGGGCGGCCGCCGAGACGCUGGGCUUCUUCCAGGUGUUGAACCACGGCGUGCCGGAGGAGGCCAUGUGCGAGAUGCUGGCGGCGGUGCGGCGCUUCAACGAGGAGCCGGCGGAGGCCAGGGCGCCGUACUACACCCGGGACCAGCGCCGACGCGUCCGGUUCAACUCCAACUUCGACCUGUUCCAGUCGCCGGCAGCCAACUGGCGCGACACCCUGCUGCUGGAGAUGGCGCCGGAGCCGCCGUCGCCCGAGGAGAUCCCGCCGGCGUGCAGGGAUAUCGUGCCGGAGUACGUGAGGCUCGUGCAGCGGCUGAGCCGCACGCUUCUCGGGCUGCUGUCGGAGGCACUGGGCCUCCACCACCACCGCGGCGGAUACCUGGAGCUGGAGCAGGACACCGCGUGCCUGCAAGGGCUCAACAUCGCCGGCCACUACUACCCGGCGUGCCCGGAGCCGCACCUCACGCUGGGCACCACCAGGCACUCGGACCCCAGCUUCCUCACCGUGCUCCUCCAGGACGCCAUCGGCGGCCUCCAGGUGCUCGUGGAAGGCCUCGAUGGCAACAAGUGGGUGGACGUGCCGGCGGUGGCGGGGGCGCUGGUGGUGAACAUCGGCGACCACCUGCAGCUCAUGUCCAACGACAGGUUCAACAGCGUGGAGCACCGCGUGGUGGCCAAGAGCUCCGGGCCGAGGUUGUCGGUGGCCUGCUUCUUCGGGACGCCCGGCGCGGUCGCGUCCAAGAUAGUGCUACGGCCAAUCGUCACCGACGGCGAGGAGGCGCGGUACAGGAGCACGACGGUGGAGGAGCUGCUGCGGGAGUACAGGGCCAAGGGCCUCGACGGUACCUCUGCACUCCACCACUUCAGGCUCUGA